CCCCAAUGGGCGCAAGCCUGAGGGAGCGACGCCGCGUGGGGGAUGAAGGUCUUCGGGAUCGUAAACCCCUGUUGCCCGGGACGAAGUUCUGACGGUACCGGGUGAGGAAGCUCCGGCUAACUACGUGCCAGCAGCCGCGGUAAUACGUAGGGAGCGAGCGUUGCUCGGAAUUACUGGGCGUAAAAGGGUGUGUAGGUGGACAUGCAAGUCCAGGGUGAAAU
This 221-nucleotide ribosomal RNA is filed under the name uncultured microorganism. Its description in RNAcentral is "partial 16S ribosomal RNA". It matches the Rfam family "Bacterial small subunit ribosomal RNA", at positions 366 to 600 of the family's 1533-position model. The record is from RNAcentral.